Oncorhynchus tshawytscha (Chinook salmon) is the source of this 392-nucleotide long non-coding RNA. The record is from Ensembl. Lineage: Eukaryota; Metazoa; Chordata; Actinopteri; Salmoniformes; Salmonidae.
AACACACCAGGUCCAGCACUCCCCAAUAACACACCAGGUCCAGCACUCCCCAAUAACACACCAGGUCCAGCACUCCCCAAUAACACACCAGGUCCAGCACUCCCCAAUAACACACCAGGUCCAGCACUCCCCAAUAACACACCUCCCCAAUAACACACCAGGUUCAGCACUCCCCAAUAACACACCUCACCAAUAACACACCAGGUCCAGCACUCCCCAAUAACACACCUCACCAAUAACACACCUCACCAAUAACACACCAGGUUCAGCACUCCCCAAUAACACACCUCACCAAUAACACACCAGGUCCAGCACUCCCCAAUAACACACCUCACCAAUAACACACCAGGUUCAGCACUCCCCAAUAACACACCUCUCCAAUAACACACCAG